RNAcentral lists this ribosomal RNA (3296 nucleotides) under Durio zibethinus. RNAcentral describes it as "eukaryotic LSU rRNA". It matches the Rfam family "Eukaryotic large subunit ribosomal RNA". Lineage: Eukaryota; Viridiplantae; Streptophyta; Magnoliopsida; Malvales; Malvaceae. The record is from RNAcentral.
UGACCCUAGGUCAGGCAAGAUUACCCUAUAAGUUUAAGCAUAUCAAUAAGCAAAGGAAAAGAAACUUACCAUGAUUCCCCUAGUAAUGGCAAGUGAACUAAGAAAAGCAUAGCUUAUGAAUCAGGCACCUUUGGCAUAGGAAUUGUAGUUUAAAAAAAUGUUUUUAGUAGCGAGCUAAGCCCAAGUCCUCUAAAAAAGGGUGUUGGAGAGGUUGGUAGGCCCAACGUGCCUAGACCCUGUCACACCAUGAGGUGUUAUCUAUGAGUUGAGUUGUUUGGGAAUGCAACCCUAAUUGGGUGGUAAAUUCUGUCCAAAGCUAAAUAUGGGCAAGAUAGCGAUAAUGAACAAGCAUCCUAAGGGAAAGAUGAAAAGGACUUUGAAAAUAUAGUCAAAAUAUGCUUGAAAUUGUUGGAAGGGAAGUGGAUAGGGGUCGACGAUACACCCUGGUCUGAUGUAGAAUGGUGAGAGCCAAUUUGCCAAUCGACUCAAGGUGUGGACCGACGCAGGUCAUGGUGGUUGCCCAAGCUCGAGCUUUCAAUAUGCCCACAAAGACAUCAUCACUAUGAUCGUGGAAUGUAGCAUGCAUCAUCUUGGCAUGCCUUCACACUAGUGUGCUUUAGCAUCAACCUAUAACUCCCCAUCUUACCUAUCUUAAAGCAUGAACCAAGAAGUCUAAUAUGUGUGCGAGUUAAUAGGCUAAAAACCCUGUAAGGUGAAAGAAAGUUGAUUGGCGGGAUCCCUCAUAAGUGCACCAUCAAUCGACCUUGAUCUUCUAAGAAGGGUUUAAGUGUGAGUAUGCCUAUCGAGACCUAAAAGAUGGUGAACUAUGCCUAUGCAAGGUGAAGCCAAAAGAAACUUUGGUGGAGGCCCAUAGUGAUACUGACAUGCAAAUUGUUAAUUUGACUUAGGUAUAAGGGUGAAAGACUAAUCAAACCAUCUAGUAGCUAGUUCCCUAUGAAAUUUCCCUCAAGAGGACCCCUUAGCGAGUUAUAUUAGGUGAAGCCAAUGAUUAGAGGCAUCGGGUGUGCAACACGCUUGACUUAUUCUCUAACUUUAAAUAGGUAGGAUAAUACAUCUGCUUUAUUAGACCAUGCCACAGAAUCAAGAGCUCUAAGUGGGCUAUUUUUUGGUAAGCAGAACUAACGAUGCAGGAUGAACUAGAAGUUAGGUUAUGGUGCCUAAUUGUGCACCAACCUAGAACCCAUAAAGGGUGUUAGUUGAUUAAGAUAGCAAGAUAAUGAACAUGGAAGUUGAAAUAUACUAAAGAGUGCAUGACAACUCACCUGCCAAAUCAAUUAGCCCCGAAAAUGGAUGAUGUUUAAGCAUACGACCUAUACCAAGCUGUUGGGGCAAGGGCCAAGUCCCAAUGAGUACGAAAGCAUGGCAAUCAUCGUAAAACUCGAUAUGCUAGCCAGAGUGAAGCAACCAUCAAUGCAGAUCUUGGUGAUAGUAACAAAUAUUCAAAUAAGAACUUUAAAGGCUGAAUAGGGGAAAGGCUCUAUGUGAACAACACUUGCACAUGGGUUAGUUGAUCCUAAAAGACAAGGGAAGCCUACCCGAUAGUGCAUCCAAUGUGAGCUUCAAAAGGUAAUUAUGUUAAAAUUCUUGAAUCAAGACACUGCAGUUGAUGACAACAUUAAAGAGUCCAAAGACAUCAGCGAGGGCCUCAUGAAAAGUAAUUUUUUUGUUUAAUGGCCUGCCCACCUUGGAAACAGCUUAGUUGGAGGUAGGGUCUAGUAGUCAAAGAGCACCACACGUCACUUGGUGUUCGGUGCACCCUUGAUAGCUUUUGAAAAUUUAAAGGAUCAAGUGCCAUUUGUGCCUAGAUGCCUUUCAUGCAUGGUCAAACUUAUAACUGCAUCAGAUCUCUAAAGUGAAUAACCUCUAGUCGAUGCAACAAUGUAGGCAAGGAAAGUUGGCAAAAUAGAUCCGUAACCUAGGGAACAAGUAUUAAUUCUGAGGGUUGGGCAUGGGGGUCUUAGUUCUAAACCCAUUGACUACUGGUGCACUACUCAAGUUGUUCCUAUAGCGCGAACAGGUCACCACGUGUUGAUUAAGGGAUGAACUAGGAAUGGCUCCAUCAAGGGCCUUACCUGGGUGAUGAAUAGUUAACUCAAAAUUGGUACGGGCAAAGGGAAUCUGACUAUUUAAUUAAAAUAAAGCAUUAUGAUGUUCAUUAUGGAUGCUUGCACAAUGUGAUUUCUACCCAAUGUUUUAAAUGUCAAAGUGAAAAAAUUCAAUUAAGCACGGGUAAAUGGUAGGACUAACUAUGACUUUUUUAAGGUAGCCAAAUGCCUUAUCAUCUAAGUAGUGACAUGGAUGAAUGGAUUAACAAGAUUCUCACUAUCCUUGUCUACUAUCUAGUGAAACCAUAGCUAAGGGAAUAGGCUUCAUGAAUUCAAUGAGGAAAAAAGACCCUAUUGAGUUCAAGUUUAGUCUGACUUUGUGAAAAGACUUGAGAGGCAUAAGAUAAGUGGGAGCCCUUAGGCAAAAUUGAAAUAUCACUACUUUUACCAUUAUUUUACUUAUUCUGUGAAUUACAGGUACGACACGAUCCCUUCUUUGAAACCCAUGGCUAACCUCGAUCAGUUGAUCUAGGUAGAAGUCAUUGUCAAGUGCAGAGUUUGCUUGAGGCACCAUAUUUGUUAAAAGAUAACACAAUGUUCUAAGAUGAGUUCAACGAUAAUAAAAGUCUCAUGUGGAAGAAAAGGGUAAAAGCUCAUUUGAUUCUAAUUUUUAGUACAAAUAUGAACUGUGAAAGUGUGGCAUAUUAAUCCUUUAGACCUUCGAAAUUUGAAGCUAGUGGUGUCAAAAAAGUUAUCACAAGGAUGACUGGCUUAUGGUAGCCAAGCAUUCAUAGAGAUGUUGCUUUUUUAUCCUUUGAUGUCAGCUCUUCCUAUCAUUAUGAAGCAAAAUUCACCAAGUGUUGUAUUGUUCACCCACCAAUAAGGAACGUAAGUUAGUUUAGACUAUAACGAGACAGGUUAGUUUUACCUUACUAAUGGUAGCAUCACAAUAGUAAUUCAACAUAGUACGAGAACUGUUGAUUAGCACAAUUAGUCAUAAGACUUGGUUGCAAAGCUCGUGGCAUGAAGUUACCAUGCACUAGAUUAUGACCGAAUACCUCUAAGUUAGAAUUUGGGCUAAAAGUGAUGCAUAUGCUCGUUGCCUGAUUGUUGACCUAAAAUAAGGGCCCAUGGCUCCUAAGGGCAUGGAUCAUAGGUGAAGCCCUUAUGACAAACAAGCUAUGUAGGCUUCCUUAGAGCUCAAUUCCUAUUAAGUAGAGGGUAAAAUCC